AGUGAACGCUGGCGGUAGGCCUAACACAUGCAAGUCGAACGGCAGCACAGUAAGAGCUUGCUCUUACGGGUGGCGAGUGGCGGACGGGUGAGGAAUACAUCGGAAUCUACUUUUUCGUGGGGGAUAACGUAGGGAAACUUACGCUAAUACCGCAUACGACCUACGGGUGAAAGCAGGGGAUCUUCGGACCUUGCGCGAUUGAAUGAGCCGAUGUCGGAUUAGCUAGUUGGCGGGGUAAAGGCCCACCAAGGCGACGAUCCGUAGCUGGUCUGAGAGGAUGAUGAGCAACACUGGAACUGAGACACGGUCCAGACUCCUACGGGAGGCAGCAGUGGGGAAUAUUGGACAAUGGGCGCAAGCCUGAUCCAGCCAUACCGCGUGGGUGAAGAAGGCCUUCGGGUUGUAAAGCCCUUUUGUUGGGAAAGAAAAGCAGCAGGUUAAUACCCCGCUGUUCUGACGGUACCCAAAGAAUAAGCACCGGCUAACUUAGUG
RNAcentral lists this ribosomal RNA (492 nucleotides) under uncultured bacterium. RNAcentral's name for it is "partial 16S ribosomal RNA". It matches the Rfam family "Bacterial small subunit ribosomal RNA", at positions 29 to 507 of the family's 1533-position model. The record is from RNAcentral.